GACGAACGCUGGCGGCGCGCUUAACACAUGCAAGUCGAACGGAAAGGCCUGCUUUCCCUUGUGGAUUGCGGGUACUCGAGUGGCGAACGGGUGAGUAACACGUGAGUGAUCUGCCCCCAACUUGGGUAUAAGCCUGGGAAGCUGGGUCUAAUUCCCGAUAGGACUGCAGGGUGGUGCCUGUGGUGGAAAACGAUUUUCUAGUGGUUGGGGAUGAGCUCGCGGCCUAUCAGCUUGUUGGUGGGGUAAUGGCCUACCAAGGCGGCGACGGGUAGCCGGCCUGAGAGGGUGGACGGCCACAUUGGGACUGAGAUACGGCCCAGACUCCUACGGGAGGCAGCAGUGGGGAAUAUUACACAAUGGGCGGAAGCCUGAUGCAGCGACGCCGCGUGGGGGAUGACGGCCUUCGGGUUGUAAACUCCUUUCGACCGCGAGGAAGCCACCUGGUUGGAAGGGUGGUGACGGUAGUGGUAGAAGAAGCACCGGCUAACUACGUG
RNAcentral lists this ribosomal RNA (494 nucleotides) under uncultured bacterium. Its description in RNAcentral is "partial 16S ribosomal RNA". It matches the Rfam family "Bacterial small subunit ribosomal RNA", at positions 28 to 507 of the family's 1533-position model. The record is from RNAcentral.